GGAAUAUUGCACAAUGGGGGAAACCCUGAUGCAGCGACGCCGCGUGAGUGAAGAAGUAUCUCGGUACGUAAAGCUCUAUCAGCAGGGAAGAAAAUGACGGUACCUGAUUAAGAAGCACCGGCUAACUACGUGCCAGCAGCCGCGGUAAUACGUCGGGGGCAAGCGUUAUCCGGAUUUACUGGGUGGAAAGGGAGCGUAGACGGCAGCGCAAGUCUGGAGUGAAAUGCCGGGGCACAACCCCGGAACUGCUUUGGAAACUGUGCAGCUCGAGUGCAGGAGAGGUAAGCGGAAUUCCUAGUGUAGCGGUGAAAUGCGUAGAUAUUAGGAGGAACGCCAGUGGCGAAGGCGGCUUACUGGACCGUAACUGACGUUGAGGCUCGAAAGCGUGGGGAGCA
Molecule: ribosomal RNA, 395 nt
Filed under: uncultured bacterium
Lineage: Bacteria
Description: bacterial SSU rRNA
Rfam family: Bacterial small subunit ribosomal RNA
Source: RNAcentral